AUGCCCGGAGUGGAAAGCGGCUCUUGGAGCAGGGCCUUGGCACCUGGGGGCCACCUGGGCUGCCUAGGUGCGACGCGGACGUUCACGUGGAGGGGCUGGGGCUGGCAAUGCGGCUGCGCACGGCUGCGCAAGAAGGGUGCGCGCAGCAAGGUGUGCGCAGGAGGGUGUGCAGGGGAGGUGUGCGCGGGAGGGUGCGCACAGGAGCGCAUGCACUGUCGUGCAUUAGAAGGUGCGCACAGGAGGGAGUGUGCACAGGAGGGUGUGCACUGCAGGUGCGCGGCGGCAGGUGUGCACAGGACGGCGUGCACAGGCGGGCACACGAGGGUGCGCCCAGCGGUGUCCCCGCGUUGCUGUCCCCGCCCCCUCGUCCCCUCCUGCCCCGCCCACCUCCCCGCCCACCCCGCCUUCGCCCCGCCCCGCCCGAUCCCUCGGCCCUCAUUGGCUAGCCGCCCCGACCCGCGGGGCCAAUCGGGGCGCGGCGGGGAGGGGGCGGGGCUUGGCGGCGGGACCCCGCCCUCCGCCCGCCGGAAGCAGCGGCGUCGCCGGGGACGCGGUGAGCGAGGCCUCAAAGGCCUGGGGGGGGGGGUCUUCCCUGCCCUCCGUGGCCAUUUUGGGCCCUGUGGAGCCUUCUCUGCCCCCCCCCCGCGGCCAUUUUGGGGGGGGGCCGUGGGGCUGAGGGGACGCUCCCUGCCCCCGUGUGCUUUGAGGGAAGCUAAUGGGUCGGGGAGGCCUCCGUCCCCCCCGUGGAGGGGGAGGAAUGGAGCCGGAGGGGGGGAGUUCCCUGCUCCCUGUGGGCGUUGGGGGGGGGUGUCGAAGGGGCCAAGGGGCCUCCGCUGUCCUCUGUGUGUUUUAGGGGGGCCGGAGGGGUCCUUCCCCCCCCUCGCCCCGUGGGCAUUUCGAGGGGGGCUGCGGGGGCCUCCGCUGCUCUCUGGCAUGGGGGGCACAUCGGGGGCCGGUGGUCUGAGGGGCUCCAGAUGCCUCCCCCUGCCCUGUGUGUGCUUGGGGGGCAAGGGGGGGCUUCGGGGCCUCUCUCCCCGCUGUGUGCGUGGGGGGCUGGGGCUGUUACCCCUGAGGGCCUGUGGGGCUCGUGCCGCGUCCCCGCAUCUGCCCCACGGUCCCUCUUUCUGCAGGACUCUGUGGCGCGCGACUGCUGCCCGUGAGCCCCUGUAG
This 1170-nucleotide long non-coding RNA is filed under the name Apteryx haastii (Great spotted kiwi). RNAcentral describes it as "lncRNA (ENSAHAG00000008768.1)". The record is from RNAcentral. Lineage: Eukaryota; Metazoa; Chordata; Aves; Apterygiformes; Apterygidae.